Long non-coding RNA from Drosophila yakuba, 1222 nucleotides. RefSeq lists it as uncharacterized. The record is from RefSeq and is a predicted model, not a curated record. NCBI's taxonomy places the organism in Eukaryota, Metazoa, Arthropoda, Insecta, Diptera, Drosophilidae. The transcript has 2 exons.
AAUACAAAGAUAAAUAAAAAUACUAGCUAUCGAUUACAAUGUUCGAUCCGGGACAUAUCAUAUCACGAGUCCCACCGAUUGUGCGGUUCAAUUUUGCGGGCCUCCGGGCUUUUGCGGGCCUCCAGGUUUUAUUUUUAGGCCCGGGGCCCGCACGAACUCGAUUUUUAGGCACGAGCAUGUUUUUUUUUGGCAAAAGCCCGCAGGCCACGAAAAAAAGCACGGCCCGCGCCCACCUCUACUUCCGAUUUCAUUUAAGUUGCAUUGUCAAUUAAAGAUUCAUUAUUGAGUCAUUAUUGUCUCUGCACAAAUCCAUUGGCUUGGAAAGUGGUCAACUCUUAACGGCAAGUUUACUAUCUCCCGAAGAGAGGGGGGAACGUAAAGAGUUAAAACUAAGCACAAAUGGAGAUGUAAACUGCUAAAGGAGGGCACAAAUUCAUUGACUGUGAAAGUCAAGUCAAGGCUAGCAAGGCGUUUACCUGAAGAGCCCAGCACUUGUUGACCCUAAACUGGAAACGGUCACGCUUCCCUAAUCCCACAGCCCUCCUCCUCGCCACCAAUCACGCAUAGACGCGGCAGCAUAAGGCGUGCGACUACGUUCACGAAGGGAGAGCAGACCCAUCACGGCAGAAUCGAAUGUAGAAGUGUAAAAUCUAGUCAAGAAUAAGACCCAAGGAAAUCAGAACUGCUAAUUGUUGUAACUGGUAACCGGGUGAACACAUUUAAUAUAAAUUUGGUGGGACGAACACACGAGAUCUUUUGCGCUUGCCGAUCAUAUCUCCAGACCAAUAAAAUCAAUUCGUUACUACUGCAAUAAAAUUAGGCACUUUGCGGCUAAAUGCCCAGAGCCACAGCGAAAAAAACGGUGUUCCAAAUGUUUUAGGAUUGGGCAUAAUGAAAAGUAUUGCAAGGUGAUAAUCUCGUCCACGUUCUGAUUGCAGCUUAAAAGUUUGAAGCGUUCAUGGCCAGGGGUAGCAAUAACAAACUCAUUAAAGAAGCAGCAGUGCCAGAUGGAGCAAUACGGCAGUCAAGGGUCAAACGUCUGCAAGGCUUUAAAGGAUCUGUUUUUUAGGCCCGGGACCCGCACGAACUCGAUUUUUAGGCACGAGCAUGUUUUUUUUUGGCAAAAGCCCGCAGGCCACGAAAAAAAGCACGGCCCGUGCCCACCUCUACUUCCGAUUUCAUUUAAGAUGCAUUGUCAAUUAAAGAUUCACGAUUUCUUCAA